RNAcentral lists this ribosomal RNA (2904 nucleotides) under Escherichia coli. RNAcentral's name for it is "23S ribosomal RNA". It matches the Rfam family "Bacterial large subunit ribosomal RNA". Lineage: Bacteria; Pseudomonadati; Pseudomonadota; Gammaproteobacteria; Enterobacterales; Enterobacteriaceae. The record is from RNAcentral.
GGUUAAGCGACUAAGCGUACACGGUGGAUGCCCUGGCAGUCAGAGGCGAUGAAGGACGUGCUAAUCUGCGAUAAGCGUCGGUAAGGUGAUAUGAACCGUUAUAACCGGCGAUUUCCGAAUGGGGAAACCCAGUGUGAUUCGUCACACUAUCAUUAACUGAAUCCAUAGGUUAAUGAGGCGAACCGGGGGAACUGAAACAUCUAAGUACCCCGAGGAAAAGAAAUCAACCGAGAUUCCCCCAGUAGCGGCGAGCGAACGGGGAGCAGCCCAGAGCCUGAAUCAGUGUGUGUGUUAGUGGAAGCGUCUGGAAAGGCGCGCGAUACAGGGUGACAGCCCCGUACACAAAAAUGCACAUGCUGUGAGCUCGAUGAGUAGGGCGGGACACGUGGUAUCCUGUCUGAAUAUGGGGGGACCAUCCUCCAAGGCUAAAUACUCCUGACUGACCGAUAGUGAACCAGUACCGUGAGGGAAAGGCGAAAAGAACCCCGGCGAGGGGAGUGAAAAAGAACCUGAAACCGUGUACGUACAAGCAGUGGGAGCACGCUUAGGCGUGUGACUGCGUACCUUUUGUAUAAUGGGUCAGCGACUUAUAUUCUGUAGCAAGGUUAACCGAAUAGGGGAGCCGAAGGGAAACCGAGUCUUAACUGGGCGUUAAGUUGCAGGGUAUAGACCCGAAACCCGGUGAUCUAGCCAUGGGCAGGUUGAAGGUUGGGUAACACUAACUGGAGGACCGAACCGACUAAUGUUGAAAAAUUAGCGGAUGACUUGUGGCUGGGGGUGAAAGGCCAAUCAAACCGGGAGAUAGCUGGUUCUCCCCGAAAGCUAUUUAGGUAGCGCCUCGUGAAUUCAUCUCCGGGGGUAGAGCACUGUUUCGGCAAGGGGGUCAUCCCGACUUACCAACCCGAUGCAAACUGCGAAUACCGGAGAAUGUUAUCACGGGAGACACACGGCGGGUGCUAACGUCCGUCGUGAAGAGGGAAACAACCCAGACCGCCAGCUAAGGUCCCAAAGUCAUGGUUAAGUGGGAAACGAUGUGGGAAGGCCCAGACAGCCAGGAUGUUGGCUUAGAAGCAGCCAUCAUUUAAAGAAAGCGUAAUAGCUCACUGGUCGAGUCGGCCUGCGCGGAAGAUGUAACGGGGCUAAACCAUGCACCGAAGCUGCGGCAGCGACGCUUAUGCGUUGUUGGGUAGGGGAGCGUUCUGUAAGCCUGCGAAGGUGUGCUGUGAGGCAUGCUGGAGGUAUCAGAAGUGCGAAUGCUGACAUAAGUAACGAUAAAGCGGGUGAAAAGCCCGCUCGCCGGAAGACCAAGGGUUCCUGUCCAACGUUAAUCGGGGCAGGGUGAGUCGACCCCUAAGGCGAGGCCGAAAGGCGUAGUCGAUGGGAAACAGGUUAAUAUUCCUGUACUUGGUGUUACUGCGAAGGGGGGACGGAGAAGGCUAUGUUGGCCGGGCGACGGUUGUCCCGGUUUAAGCGUGUAGGCUGGUUUUCCAGGCAAAUCCGGAAAAUCAAGGCUGAGGCGUGAUGACGAGGCACUACGGUGCUGAAGCAACAAAUGCCCUGCUUCCAGGAAAAGCCUCUAAGCAUCAGGUAACAUCAAAUCGUACCCCAAACCGACACAGGUGGUCAGGUAGAGAAUACCAAGGCGCUUGAGAGAACUCGGGUGAAGGAACUAGGCAAAAUGGUGCCGUAACUUCGGGAGAAGGCACGCUGAUAUGUAGGUGAAGCGACUUGCUCGUGGAGCUGAAAUCAGUCGAAGAUACCAGCUGGCUGCAACUGUUUAUUAAAAACACAGCACUGUGCAAACACGAAAGUGGACGUAUACGGUGUGACGCCUGCCCGGUGCCGGAAGGUUAAUUGAUGGGGUCAGCGCAAGCGAAGCUCUUGAUCGAAGCCCCGGUAAACGGCGGCCGUAACUAUAACGGUCCUAAGGUAGCGAAAUUCCUUGUCGGGUAAGUUCCGACCUGCACGAAUGGCGUAAUGAUGGCCAGGCUGUCUCCACCCGAGACUCAGUGAAAUUGAACUCGCUGUGAAGAUGCAGUGUACCCGCGGCAAGACGGAAAGACCCCGUGAACCUUUACUAUAGCUUGACACUGAACAUUGAGCCUUGAUGUGUAGGAUAGGUGGGAGGCUUAGAAGUGUGGACGCCAGUCUGCAUGGAGCCGACCUUGAAAUACCACCCUUUAAUGUUUGAUGUUCUAACGUUGACCCGUAAUCCGGGUUGCGGACAGUGUCUGGUGGGUAGUUUGACUGGGGCGGUCUCCUCCUAAAGAGUAACGGAGGAGCACGAAGGUUGGCUAAUCCUGGUCGGACAUCAGGAGGUUAGUGCAAUGGCAUAAGCCAGCUUGACUGCGAGCGUGACGGCGCGAGCAGGUGCGAAAGCAGGUCAUAGUGAUCCGGUGGUUCUGAAUGGAAGGGCCAUCGCUCAACGGAUAAAAGGUACUCCGGGGAUAACAGGCUGAUACCGCCCAAGAGUUCAUAUCGACGGCGGUGUUUGGCACCUCGAUGUCGGCUCAUCACAUCCUGGGGCUGAAGUAGGUCCCAAGGGUAUGGCUGUUCGCCAUUUAAAGUGGUACGCGAGCUGGGUUUAGAACGUCGUGAGACAGUUCGGUCCCUAUCUGCCGUGGGCGCUGGAGAACUGAGGGGGGCUGCUCCUAGUACGAGAGGACCGGAGUGGACGCAUCACUGGUGUUCGGGUUGUCAUGCCAAUGGCACUGCCCGGUAGCUAAAUGCGGAAGAGAUAAGUGCUGAAAGCAUCUAAGCACGAAACUUGCCCCGAGAUGAGUUCUCCCUGACCCUUUAAGGGUCCUGAAGGAACGUUGAAGACGACGACGUUGAUAGGCCGGGUGUGUAAGCGCAGCGAUGCGUUGAGCUAACCGGUACUAAUGAACCGUGAGGCUUAACCUU